CCUACGCGAGGCAGCAGUAGGGAAUCUUCCACAAUGGGCGAAAGCCUGAUGGAGCAACGCCGCGUGGGUGAAGAAGGUCUUCAGAUCGUAAAACCCUGUUGUUAGAGAAGAAACAGCGUGAGAGUAACUGUUCACGCUUCGACGGUAUCUAACCAGAAAGCCACGGCUAACUACGUGCCAGCAGCCGCGGUAAUACGUAGGUGGCAAGCGUUAUCCGGAUUCAUUGGGCGUAAAGGGAACGCAGGCGGCCGUGUAAGUCUGAUGUGAAAGCCUUCGGCUUAACCGGAGUAGUGCAUUGGAAACUGGGUGACUGGAGUGCAGAAGAGGAAGGUGGAACUCCAGGUGUAGCGGUGAAAUGCGUAGAUAUAAGGAAGAACACCAGAGGCGAAAGCGGCUCUCUGGUCUGUAACUGACGCUGAGGUUCGAAAGCGUGGGGAGCGAACAGGAUUAGAUACCCCUGUAGUC
RNAcentral lists this ribosomal RNA (465 nucleotides) under uncultured bacterium. RNAcentral describes it as "partial 16S ribosomal RNA". It matches the Rfam family "Bacterial small subunit ribosomal RNA", at positions 338 to 795 of the family's 1533-position model. The record is from RNAcentral.